CUCACUCUUUGCCACCCCUUCUGAGGUGCUCCCUCUUGGGACCUAGCUUCCAUACUGUGAGAAACUCAAGCCGUAUUGCAAGGCCACAUGUGGGCUGUCAGUCCCAGGUCUAAAGUGAGCCAGUAGACCCACCUCAACAUAUGCUUUCGAUAGCUGAGGCAGGACAAAGGAAUGUGCCAAAUCGCACACUAGUUCUUAAAGCUUCCACCAGAAGUGACAUACGUCGCUUCCACUUAUAUUUCAUUGGCCAAGAAGGUCAUGUGGCCACACCUGAUUAAACAAAGAUGGAGAAGUUUAACCUACCAUGUGCUGAGUAGCUAGCGUUACUUAGAGGCUCCAUCUGGUCUGAUGAGAAGAGCUUACCUGAAGAUGAAACCAAUGCUGGGGCAAGCUGGGCUCCGAAGUUAAAAGAAGGGAACUGAAGCCUGAUGACAUCAUUUAAACCUCUGCAGCUGUCACCUCCUCUGAAAUAUGCUGAGCCCUGCGAACUCCAUGGCUCCUUUUCAGCUGGCUUCCUGCCCGAAGAGUGCUUCCUGCAGUGUUUCCUUUUGCUUUCAUCCAAUACCUGGUUCUUAUAGAUCUACCUGGAAAGAGUAACACUUUGACUGCCAUUGUCAUUUCUACCUCAGUGUGAAAGAAGUUUCUAAGUGAAAAUGUCAUUGAGCAAGAAAGGAAGUGGAGGCAACGUUCCAGUUCGGCCCCCUCCACUCCACCCACCCCCGACAGCCUUACUGCUGGGGUUGGUGGGAUGAGGCCUGCGUCCUCCAGACGCCCUGUGCUGUGGGGAACCAGUCCUGUCCAGAGCAGAAAGGUGGAGAGGAUUUCUGGGGCCAAACAUGAAGAUAUCAUGAAGUGGGUUCUCCAGUUCUUGUGUCAACACACAUGCUACCUAGAAUGGCUUGAAGUGCUUUUCAAAACCUCUUGAAUCCAUUUAAAGCUUCUGCAGCUUUCCAAAAGAGUGUUUUCCCCUCAUCUUCAAGCACGUAAGCAAAAACAAUUUUCCAAAAGAGUAGCCUGAGAAAGUCAGUGGAGUGUAAUGACAACAAAACUCCCUAAGUCUUCCACAAGCGCAGAAUUUGUUUCACUGGGAAUCUCAUUUCCAGAGAGAGAGAGAGACCCUAGACCUUCUCUGUCCAGGGGCCAUACUUUGAGCUAUAGAAUUUUCGAGUGCUCUGUUUUCUGCACAGUCUUUGAGUCAGAUCUAGAAUCUUUUCUGGCACUAGAGAGAAGAAAUCCAUCUUCUCACCGCAUGGCCCUCAGGUCAUCUCUGAAGCACAUUCUCCACUGGGUUUCUUUCCUUCUUGGUUGACUCCCAAGGCUCAACUUUCGCUCCAUGCUUUGGCCCUGCCCUCACCCAUUCUGUCUGGGGGCCCCUGUCUGAGACUGAAGGUGGAGGGAGACACAGUAUUCUCAGCCCUCUUCUUCUUUACUGCCUUUGAAGACAAGAAUGCAGAUCUUUCAGUGGUUUUGCCACUGAUCUCACAAAUGAGAAACCACCCGAGAAGACAACGACUGGCAAGUCUUUGGCACCACGGUCUCUGGACUAUGGCUUCCAACUUUUCCACUGACGUGCCAAUUAGAAUAGAAGCGUGCUGAUCGCUGAGGAGGGUGCUCAUCAACCACCCCCACUCUUUCUAUGUGAGGCUUUAAAUGUAGGCUCUGCCAGGUCCUACUCCAGGAAGACCCUUAGAUCUCACUGUCUUUAGUCAUGGCAAGCACAAAAUACUCCAAGUUACUGCCUGCAUCCUGCACUGGAAAUCCAUUCCCUUUUGUUUGGUUUUUAUUGACCAGAGUGUUUAAAAAUAACUUCUGGAUUUAGAGCAAGGAUUGGCAAUCUAUGGCUCCCAGGACAAAUUUGGCCACAGCCUGUUUUUGUACAGUC
Non-coding RNA from Equus caballus (horse), 1882 nucleotides. Lineage: Eukaryota; Metazoa; Chordata; Mammalia; Perissodactyla; Equidae. The record is from RefSeq and is a predicted model, not a curated record.